GAUGAACGCUGGCGGCGUGCUUAACACAUGCAAGUCGAACGAAGCAUUUAAGACAGAUUUCUUUGGGAUGAAGUUUUUUANGACUGAGUGGCGGACGGGUGAGUAACGCGUGGGUAACCUGCCUCACACAGGGGGACAACAGUUGGAAACGACUGCUAAUACCGCAUGACGCAUAGAGGUCGCAUGAUCUUUAUGCCAAAAGAUUUAUCGCUUCAAGAUGGCCUCGCGUCUGAUUAGCUGGUUGGCGGGGUAACGGCCCACCAAGGCGACGAUCAGUAGCCGGACUGAGAGGUUGAACGGCCACAUUGGGACUGAGAUACGGCCCAGACUCCUACGGGAGGCAGCAGUGGGGAAUAUUGGGCAAUGGGCGCAAGCCUGACCCAGCAACGCCGCGUGAAGGAAGAAGGCUUUCGGGUUGUAAACUUCUUUUAAGAGGGAAGAGCAGAAGACGGUACCUCUAGAAUAAGCCACGGCUAACUACGUG
This 484-nucleotide ribosomal RNA is filed under the name uncultured bacterium. RNAcentral describes it as "bacterial SSU rRNA". It matches the Rfam family "Bacterial small subunit ribosomal RNA", at positions 28 to 507 of the family's 1533-position model. The record is from RNAcentral.